This 215-nucleotide long non-coding RNA is filed under the name Mytilus galloprovincialis (Mediterranean mussel). The record is from RNAcentral. Lineage: Eukaryota; Metazoa; Mollusca; Bivalvia; Mytilida; Mytilidae.
UAUAACCAGAUGCCCCGCAGGGCGUAGCUUUAUACGACCGCAAAGGUUGAACCCUGAACGGUUGGGGCAAGUAUGGACACAACAUUCAAGCUGGAUUCAGCUCUAAAUUUGGAUUGUGAUUAAAUAGUUGACACAGCAUAGGUUUCUGACACAGAAUGAAUGUGUUCUAAUGAACUUAAAAUUUUUGUUUUCUCUUAGAGCAAUUCACUAUGCUG